This 1371-nucleotide ribosomal RNA is filed under the name uncultured bacterium. Its description in RNAcentral is "bacterial SSU rRNA". It matches the Rfam family "Bacterial small subunit ribosomal RNA", at positions 28 to 1381 of the family's 1533-position model. The record is from RNAcentral.
GAUGAACGCUGGCGGCGUGCCUAAUACAUGCAAGUCGAGCGAACGGACGAGAAGCUUGCUUCUCUGAUGUUAGCGGCGGACGGGUGAGUAACACGUGGAUAACCUACCCAUAAGACUGGGAUAACUUCGGGAAACCGGAGCUAAUACCGGAUAAUAUUUUGAACCGCAUGGUUCAAAAGUGAAAGACGGUCUUGCUGUCACUUAUAGAUGGAUCCGCGCUGCAUUAGCUAGUUGGUAAGGUAACGGCUUACCAAGGCAACGAUGCAUAGCCGACCUGAGAGGGUGAUCGGCCACACUGGAACUGAGACACGGUCCAGACUCCUACGGGAGGCAGCAGUAGGGAAUCUUCCGCAAUGGGCGAAAGCCUGACGGAGCAACGCCGCGUGAGUGAUGAAGGUCUUCGGAUCGUAAAGCUCUGUUAUUAGGGAAGAACAUAUGUGUAAGUAACUGUGCACAUCUUGACGGUACCUAAUCAGAAAGCCACGGCUAACUACGUGCCAGCAGCCGCGGUAAUACGUAGGUGGCAAGCGUUAUCCGGAAUUAUUGGGCGUAAAGCGCGCGUAGGCGGUUUUUUAGUCUGAUGUGAAAGCCCACGGCUCAACCGUGGAGGGUCAUUGGAAACUGGAAAACUUGAGUGCAGAAGAGGAAAGUGGAAUUCCAUGUGUAGCGGUGAAAUGCGCAGAGAUAUGGAGGAACACCAGUGGCGAAGGCGACUUUCUGGUCUGUAACUGACGCUGAUGUGCGAAAGCGUGGGGAUCAAACAGGAUUAGAUACCCUGGUAGUCCACGCCGUAAACGAUGAGUGCUAAGUGUUAGGGGGUUUCCGCCCCUUAGUGCUGCAGCUAACGCAUUAAGCACUCCGCCUGGGGAGUACGACCGCAAGGUUGAAACUCAAAGGAAUUGACGGGGACCCGCACAAGCGGUGGAGCAUGUGGUUUAAUUCGAAGCAACGCGAAGAACCUUACCAAAUCUUGACAUCCUUUGACAACUCUAGAGAUAGAGCCUUCCCCUUCGGGGGACAAAGUGACAGGUGGUGCAUGGUUGUCGUCAGCUCGUGUCGUGAGAUGUUGGGUUAAGUCCCGCAACGAGCGCAACCCUUAAGCUUAGUUGCCAUCAUUAAGUUGGGCACUCUAAGUUGACUGCCGGUGACAAACCGGAGGAAGGUGGGGAUGACGUCAAAUCAUCAUGCCCCUUAUGAUUUGGGCUACACACGUGCUACAAUGGACAAUACAAAGGGCAGCGAAACCGCGAGGUCAAGCAAAUCCCAUAAAGUUGUUCUCAGUUCGGAUUGUAGUCUGCAACUCGACUACAUGAAGCUGGAAUCGCUAGUAAUCGUAGAUCAGCAUGCUACGGUGAAUACGUUCCCGGGUCU